AAAAUUAAACACUAUCAACAAUAUCUAAGCAUGUAGACGUCAUAGGUGGCUAUUUUUGGACUGGGGUUCAAUCCCCCACAGCUCCACCA
RNAcentral lists this transfer-messenger RNA (89 nucleotides) under Campylobacterota bacterium. RNAcentral's name for it is "Epsilonproteobacteria bacterium (wastewater metagenome) partial transfer-messenger RNA". It matches the Rfam family "transfer-messenger RNA", at positions 292 to 374 of the family's 374-position model. Rfam says of the family: Bacterial tmRNA, also known as 10Sa RNA or SsrA, is named for its dual tRNA and mRNA-like properties. Its role is to liberate the mRNA from a stalled ribosome. To accomplish this part of the tmRNA is used as a reading frame that ends in a translation stop signal. The record is from RNAcentral. Lineage: Bacteria; Pseudomonadati; Campylobacterota.